GUUCAGCCAAAAGGAAAUUGAACCAAUAAGCUGGUCCAGCCAAAAGGACUUGAACCAAUAAGCUGGUUCAGCCAAAAGGACUUGAACCAAUAAGCUGGUUCAGCCAAAAGAGGAAAUUGAACCAAUAAGCUGGUUCAGCCAAAAGGACUUGAACCAAUAAGCUGGUUCAGCCAAAAGGACUUGAACCAAUAACCUGGUCCAGCCAAAAGGACUUGAACCAAUAAGCUGGUUCAGCCAAAAGGACUUGAACCAAUAAGCUGGUUCAGCCAAAAGGACUUGAACCAAUAACCUGGUUCAGCCAAAAGGACUUGAACCAAUAACCUGGUCCAGCCAAAAGGACUUGAACCAAUAACCUGUUCAGCCAAAAGGACUUGAACCAAUAACAAGGUCCAGCCAAAAGAGGGAGUUGAACUAAUAACCAGCUAAUGAACAGUGACUCCCUCUCAAUUCCUGAUUACUACUGAACUCUGAUGAAGAUGAUGGUAAUGAUGAUGAUGAUGAUGGUAAUGGUGAUAAUGAUGAUGAUGAUGAUGGUGAUGAUGAUGGUAAUGAUGAUGAUGGUGAUGGUAAUGAUGAUGGUGAUGAUGGUAAUGAUGAUGAUGAUGAUGGUGAUGAUGAUGGUAAUGAUGAUGACGAUGAUGAUGAUGAUGAUGGUGAUGAUGAUGAUGAUGAUGAUGAUGAUGCUGAUGGUAAUGAUGAUGGUGAUGAUGAUGAUGAUGGUAAUGAUGAUGGUGAUGGUAAUGAUGAUGGUGAUGAUGAUGGUAAUGAUGAUGUAAUGAUGAUGGUGAUGAUGAUGGUAAUGAUGAUGAUGAUGGUAAUGAUGAUGAUUAUGAUGAUGAUGAUGGUGAUGAUGGUGAUGAUGGUGAUGGUGAUGAUGAUAUAUGAUGAUGAUGAUGGUAAUGAUGAUGAUGAUGAUGAUGGUGAUGACGAUGAUGGUAAUGAUGAUGGUAAUGAUGAAGGUGAUGUAUGAUGAUGAUAUGUUUACUGUGCUCUACAAGCAGGACUAGUAGGGACAUGCAUGCUUAUCCCUGCACCAUAUUUCUGUUCUGACCCAGUUGUUAUUGCCACUGAAGACUCCAGUCACUCAGUCAGUCUCACAGGGGGCCAUGAUGUAUAGGUCAAUAUUACACAUUGAUUUAUUAUAUUGAUACUGAUCACUUUUAUAUUAUCUACCAAGCUGUGUUAGCACUGGUGAUGCUACUACCGCUUCAAUGCACUGGAUUUAAUGUAUAUACAUCACUAAGAGGACAGAGAGAGGACAGAGAGAGGACAGAGAGGAGAGGAGAGGAGAGACAGAGAGGAGAGAGAGGAGAGAGAGAGAGGACAGAGAGAGAGGAGAGAGAGAGAGAGGAGAGGAGAGAGGAGAGACAGAGAGGAGAGAGAGAGAGAGACAGAGAGGAGAGAGAAGAGACAGAGAGGAGAGAGAGUGGAGAGAGGAGGGAGAGAGAGGAGAGAGAGGAGAGAGAGAGACAGA
This 1474-nucleotide long non-coding RNA is filed under the name Salmo salar (Atlantic salmon). Its description in RNAcentral is "lncRNA (ENSSSAG00000102700.1)". The record is from RNAcentral. Lineage: Eukaryota; Metazoa; Chordata; Actinopteri; Salmoniformes; Salmonidae.